RNAcentral lists this ribosomal RNA (253 nucleotides) under uncultured bacterium. RNAcentral describes it as "partial 16S ribosomal RNA". It matches the Rfam family "Bacterial small subunit ribosomal RNA", at positions 524 to 776 of the family's 1533-position model. The record is from RNAcentral.
GACAGAGGGUGCAAACGUUGUUCGGAAUUACUGGGCGUAAAGCGAGUGUAGGCGGCUUGGCAAGUCGGAUGUGAAAGCCCCGGGCUCAACCCGGGAAGUGCACUCGAUACUGCUUAGCUUGAGUGUCGGAGAGGUUGGUGGAAUUCUCGGUGUAGAGGUGAAAUUCGUAGAUAUCGAGAGGAACAUCGGCGGCGAAGGCGGCCAACUGGACGAACACUGACGCUGAGACUCGAAAGCGUGGGGAGCAAACAGG